GGACAACCUGGGCAACACAGUGAGACUCUCUCUCAAACAGAACUAAAACCAAAACAAACCAAAAUCAAGACCAAAACAAAACCAAAAGACCCACUACCACAAAGACAAGGGUUUGCUUUCCUUAGUAAUGGGUUAGUGGAUGGCAGGGUUAAUGCACAUGUGCCUUCUAGCCCUUUUCUUCAGCAUGUCACCUCAGUAUUAUGGGACAUUACAGGCAUUUUCAAGGCAUUAACAGUGUGCUGGUUAGCUUUAUGUCACCUUGAUACAAACAACAGUCAGGAGGGAACCUCAGUUGAGAACGUACCUUCAUGAGAUCCAGCUGUAAGGCAUUUUCUUCAUGGGGAGGGCCCAGCCCAUUGUGGGUGGUGCCACUUUUGGCUUGGUGGUCUUGGGCUCUAUAAGAAGGCAAGCUGAGCAAACCAUGGGGAACAAGCCAGUAAGUAACAUCCCUCCAUAGCCUCUGCAUCAGCUCCUGCCCCCAGGUUCCUGUUUGUUUGAGUCCCUGUCCUGACUUCCUUCGAUGAUGAACAAUGGUGUGGAACUGUAAGCCAAGUAAACCCUUUCCUCCCAAGUUGGUCAUGGUGUUUCAUCAAAGCCAGAGUAACAAAAAUAAAAAAUAAAAA
Molecule: long non-coding RNA, 623 nt
Filed under: Rattus norvegicus (Norway rat)
Lineage: Eukaryota; Metazoa; Chordata; Mammalia; Rodentia; Muridae
Description: long non-coding RNA NONRATT026848
Source: RNAcentral